GCCCGUGUAGCUCAGUGGUAGAGCAUUGUACUUAUGAGGUUAUCUGACUACUUACAUUGAUAUGCAAGGGUCCCGAGUUCAAUCCUCGGCAUGGGCA
Non-coding RNA from Termitomyces sp. Mi166#008, 97 nucleotides. Lineage: Eukaryota; Fungi; Basidiomycota; Agaricomycetes; Agaricales; Lyophyllaceae. The record is from the annotation of a GenBank genome assembly.